CCUACGGGGGACAGCAGUGGGGAAUAUUGGACAAUGGGGGGAACCCUGAUCCAGCCAUGCCGCGUGUGUGAAGAAGGCCCUCGGGUUGUAAAGCACUUUCAGUGAGGAAGAACGCCUGGUGGUUAAUACCCAUCAGGAAAGACAUCACUCACAGAAGAAGCACCGGCUAACUCCGUGCCAGCAGCCGCGGUAAUACGGAGGGUGCGAGCGUUAAUCGGAAUUACUGGGCGUAAAGCGCGCGUAGGUGGCUUGAUAAGCCGGUUGUGAAAGCCCCGGGCUCAACCUGGGAACGGCAUCCGGAACUGUCAAGCUAGAGUGCAGGAGAGGAAGGUAGAAUUCCCGGUGUAGCGGUGAAAUGCGUAGAGAUCGGGAGGAAUACCAGUGGCGAAGGCGGCCUUCUGGACUGACACUGACACUGAGGUGCGAAAGCGUGGGUAGCAAACAGGAUUAGAUACCCCGGUAGUC
RNAcentral lists this ribosomal RNA (465 nucleotides) under Vreelandella stevensii. RNAcentral describes it as "partial 16S ribosomal RNA". It matches the Rfam family "Bacterial small subunit ribosomal RNA", at positions 338 to 795 of the family's 1533-position model. The record is from RNAcentral. Lineage: Bacteria; Pseudomonadati; Pseudomonadota; Gammaproteobacteria; Oceanospirillales; Halomonadaceae.